RNAcentral lists this ribosomal RNA (254 nucleotides) under uncultured bacterium. Its description in RNAcentral is "partial 16S ribosomal RNA". It matches the Rfam family "Bacterial small subunit ribosomal RNA", at positions 524 to 776 of the family's 1533-position model. The record is from RNAcentral.
UACGUAGGGUGCGAGCGUUGUCCGGAAUUAUUGGGCGUAAAGAGCUCGUAGGCGGUCUGUCGCGUCGGUCGUGAAAACUUGGGGCUUAACCCUGAGCUUGCGGUCGAUACGGGCAUGACUGGAGUUCGGCAGGGGAGACUGGAACUCCUGGUGUAGCGGUGAAAUGCGCAGAUAUCAGGAGGAACACCGGUGGCGAAGGCGGGUCUCUGGGCCGAUACUGACGCUGAGGCGCGAAAGCCAGGGGAGCGAACGGG